RNAcentral lists this ribosomal RNA (403 nucleotides) under uncultured soil bacterium. RNAcentral describes it as "bacterial SSU rRNA". It matches the Rfam family "Bacterial small subunit ribosomal RNA", at positions 26 to 452 of the family's 1533-position model. The record is from RNAcentral.
AGAACGAACGCUGGCGGCAUGCCUAAUACAUGCAAGUCGAACGAACACUUCGGUGUUAGUGGCGCACGGGUGCGUAACGCGUGGGAAUCUGCCCUUGGGUUCGAAUAACAGUUGGAAACGACUGCUAAUACCGGAUGAUAUCGAAAGAUACAAAGAUUUAUCGCCCAGGGAUGAGCCCGCGUAGGAUUAGCUAGUUGGUGAGGUAAGCUCACCAAGGCGACGAUCCUUAGCUGGUCUGAGAGGAUGAUCAGCCACACUGGGACUGAGACACGGCCCAGACCUCCGUACGGGAGGCAGCAGGUAGGGAAUAGUGGACAAGUGGGCGCAAGGCCUGAUCCAGCAAUGCCGCGUGAGUGAGUGAAGGUCCGUUAGGGUUAGUAAGUCGUUACGUUUUUACCGAGUA